This 424-nucleotide ribosomal RNA is filed under the name uncultured Prevotella sp. RNAcentral describes it as "bacterial SSU rRNA". It matches the Rfam family "Bacterial small subunit ribosomal RNA", at positions 355 to 776 of the family's 1533-position model. The record is from RNAcentral. Lineage: Bacteria; Pseudomonadati; Bacteroidota; Bacteroidia; Bacteroidales; Prevotellaceae.
GGAGGAAUAUUGGUCAAUGGGGCGCGAGCCUGAACCAGCCAAGUAGCGUGCGGGAGGAAGGCCCUAUGGGUUGUAAACCGCUUUUACCGGGGGAUAAAGUGAGCGACGUGUCGCUCAUUGCAGGUACCCGGCGAAUAAGGACCGGCUAAUUCCGUGCCAGCAGCCGCGGUAAUACGGAAGGUCCGGGCGUUAUCCGGAUUUAUUGGGUUUAAAGGGAGCGUAGGCCGGAGAUUAAGCGUGUUGUGAAAUGUAGUGGCUCAACCUCUGCACUGCAGCGCGAACUGGUCUUCUUGAGUACGCACAACGUGGCGGAAUUCGUGGUGUAGCGGUGAAAUGCUUAGAUAUCACGAAGAACUCCGAUUGCGAAGGCAGUUCACGGGAGCGCAACUGACGCUGAAGUUCGAAAGUGCGGGUAUCGAACAGG